RNAcentral lists this ribosomal RNA (497 nucleotides) under uncultured bacterium. RNAcentral's name for it is "partial 16S ribosomal RNA". It matches the Rfam family "Bacterial small subunit ribosomal RNA", at positions 28 to 507 of the family's 1533-position model. The record is from RNAcentral.
GAUGAACGCUGGCUGCGUGCCUAAUACAUGCAAGUCGAGCGAACAGAUAAGGAGCUUGCUCCUUUGACGUUAGCGGCGGACGGGUGAGUAACACGUGGGUAACCUACCUAUAAGACUGGGAUAACUUCGGGAAACCGGAGCUAAUACCGGAUAAUAUUUCGAACCGCAUGGUUCGAUAGUGAAAGAUGGUUUUGCUAUCACUUAUAGAUGGACCCGCGCCGUAUUAGCUAGUUGGUAAGGUAACGGCUUACCAAGGCGACGAUACGUAGCCGACCUGAGAGGGUGAUCGGCCACACUGGAACUGAGACACGGUCCAGACUCCUACGGGAGGCAGCAGUAGGGAAUCUUCCGCAAUGGGCGAAAGCCUGACGGAGCAACGCCGCGUGAGUGAUGAAGGUCAUCGGAUCGUAAAACUCUGUUAUUAGGGAAGAACAUACGUGUAAGUAACUGUGCACGUCUUGACGGUACCUAAUCAGAAAGCCACGGCUAACUACGUG